RNAcentral lists this ribosomal RNA (481 nucleotides) under uncultured bacterium. Its description in RNAcentral is "partial 16S ribosomal RNA". It matches the Rfam family "Bacterial small subunit ribosomal RNA", at positions 28 to 507 of the family's 1533-position model. The record is from RNAcentral.
GACGAACGUUGGCGGCGUGCUUAAUACAUGCAAGUCAACUGAAGCAGUGGUAGCAAUAUCGCUGUGGAGGUGGCGCACGGGUGAGUAACACGUAGGUAAUCUGCCUUCAGGUCUGGCAUAACUCCGGGAAACCGGGGCUAAUAGCAGAUGAUGCAGCGGCUCGACAUCGAGACAGUUGUUAAAGCUAUGGCGCCUGAAGAUGAGCCUGCGUCUGAUUAGCUAGUUGGCGGGGUAACGGCCCACCAAGGCAACGAUCAGUAGCUGGUCUGAGAGGAUGAUCAGCCACACUGGAACUGAGACACGGUCCAGACUACGACGGGAGGCAGCAGUAAGGAAUAUUGCGCAAUGGGAGAAAUCCUGAGGCAGCAACGCCGCGUGAGGGACGAAGGGCUGUUGCUUGGAAACCUCUGUAGUGAGAGAAAAAAAUCCCAAUCUUUGGGACAUGAUGGUAUCUCAAAAGUAAGCCCCGGCUAACUACGUG